AUUGAACGCUGGCGGCAGGCCUAACACAUGCAAGUCGAGCGGGAGUAGCAAUACUCUAGCGGCGAACGGGUGAGGAAUGCUUGGGAAUCUGCCUAGUAGUGGGGGAUAACGUUCGGAAACGGACGCUAAUACCGCAUACGUCCUACGGGAGAAAGGGGGGAUCUUCGGACCUCUCGCUAUUAGAUGAGCCCAAGCGGGAUUAGCUAGUUGGUGAGGUAAUGGCUCACCAAGGCAACGAUCCCUAGCUGGUCUGAGAGGAUGAUCAGCCACACUGGAACUGAGACACGGUCCAGACUCCUACGGGAGGCAGCAGUGGGGAAUAUUGGACAAUGGGCGAAAGCCGUGAUCCAGCCAUGCCGCGUGUGUGAAGAAGGCCUUAGGGUUGUAAAGCACUUUAAGCGAGAGGAAGGUUCGUCACCUAAUACGUGGCGGAAUUGACGUUACUCGCAGAAUAAGCACCGGCUAACUCUGUGCCAGCAGCCGCGGUAAUAG
RNAcentral lists this ribosomal RNA (492 nucleotides) under uncultured bacterium. RNAcentral's name for it is "bacterial SSU rRNA". It matches the Rfam family "Bacterial small subunit ribosomal RNA", at positions 30 to 526 of the family's 1533-position model. The record is from RNAcentral.